CAGGGCGGCGGGGAGAGGGAGCGGCCGUCUCCUCUCACUCUCCCGGCCCUAGGGGGCGGGACUGCACCCCUAACCUUCCCCCAGCCUCCACCCUGGGGCCUGGCUUCCCUACCCCUCUUCCGUCCGCCCAACCCCGUGGCACAGAGCCCACUCUUCUCCAGUAGUGACUAACUGCCACGCGUGGACUCCUUGCCUUGCCUCGGAUCUCCUGGUUUCCAAACUGAGUGAAAAGCUUUCGGUUUUGUUUUGUACCCAGCAGAAGAAGGAAGAAUGGAUAUGCACACAAAUCAGGGGCCCAAGGGAAUGCUCAAGCGCAUUUUUCCCCGCCGGCUCCCAUUGCUGUGGGUUGCGUCUGGAGGCUGGACAUCGAGACUGAGCAGAGAGCACUGCUAUCCAGUGUGAAGCCCAGACCAGAGACAUAACCAACUUUUCACCCCUUUCCUGGACACCUCAAACUUACCACCUGGAGGUUAGCAGGCCAAAGGCUUGCCUUUGAGCUAAUCUGAAGGCGAAAGCUGUCUCUUUUUCACCUAUUUUAUAUCUGUGUAUGUCUUGUUAAACUCUGUGAUCAUAAAAACUUUCUGAACUUGGAUUCAUUCUCCUAGUCUUCCCAAUCAGAGUACGAACUAGGCAAAGUAAUAUUGCCCCACCCUGACACUCCAUUUUUACCCCAAAAGAAAGUAUAGUUAGUUUACAUUAAACCAAUAGGUUUUGAACAGUUUCAGAGACAAGAAGGGUUCAUCGCCUUCUCCCUACCUUUUGAGUGUAGAGGUGGACUCCUCGCCACUGAGUGUGGAAUACACCCUGUGCAACCACUGGGGUGGUCUCUACUUUGCAAUUACGGGGGACAUAUGAAGGAGAAAACUUUUCAGGAGGAAUAGACAAAGGGAUCUUACAAAGAGUUUUGCAUUGAGGGGCAGUGGAAUUCUGAGUGACUGAGGAGGUGUGAGGCUAGAGAGGGGGGACUUGGAUUUGAGUAGGGGGCAGGCUGGUGUCUGCAGUCAAUGCUCUACCACUGAGCUACACCCCUCUGCUGGUGCGUGUUGGGUAAACUAUUUUUACACCAAUUCUACAUUUUUUUGUACUGAAAAUUUUGUUCAAAAUUAGUUACUUCUUCCUAGAUAAUAUUAAAUUUACUAAUGAUGAGAAACAAAAUUGAAAGACCAACUGAA
Molecule: long non-coding RNA, 1172 nt
Organism: Pteropus alecto (black flying fox)
Lineage: Eukaryota; Metazoa; Chordata; Mammalia; Chiroptera; Pteropodidae
Exons: 3
Source: RefSeq, a predicted model, not a curated record